UACGUAGGUGACAAGCGUUGUCCGGAUUUACUGGGCGUAAAGAGCUCGCAGGCGGUCGAUCAAGUCGAGUGUGAAAGCCCCCGGCUCAACUGGGGAGGGUCAUUCGAUACUGAUCGACUCGAAGGCAGGAGAGGGUAGUGGAAUUCCCGGUGUAGUGGUGAAAUGCGCAGAUAUCGGGAGGAACACCAGUAGCGAAGGCGACACUCUGGGCCGGUACUGACGCUGAGGAGCGAAAGCGUGGGGAGCAAACAGG
RNAcentral lists this ribosomal RNA (253 nucleotides) under uncultured bacterium. Its description in RNAcentral is "partial 16S ribosomal RNA". It matches the Rfam family "Bacterial small subunit ribosomal RNA", at positions 524 to 776 of the family's 1533-position model. The record is from RNAcentral.